Molecule: ribosomal RNA, 503 nt
Filed under: uncultured bacterium
Lineage: Bacteria
Description: partial 16S ribosomal RNA
Rfam family: Bacterial small subunit ribosomal RNA
Source: RNAcentral
AACGAACGCUGGCGGCACGUUUUAAGCAUGCAAGUCGAAUGGCAGUGGGGGCAACCCCAUGAGAAUGGCGAACGGGUGAGUAACACGUAGGUGAUCUGCCUGACGGAUGGGGAUAGCUUGUGGAAACACAGGGUAAUACCGACUGAGCUGACGAGACUUUGGUUUUGUUAGUAAAGGUGCUACGGCACCGCCGACAGAGGAGCCUGCGGCUGAUUAGCUAGUUGGUGGGGUAAAGGCCUACCAAGGCGACGACCAGUAGCCGGCCUGAGAGGGUGUACGGCCACACUGGAACUGAGACGCGGUCCAGACUCCUACGGGAGGCAGCAGCUAAGAAUCUUCCGCAAUGGGCGAAAGCCUGACGGAGCGAUGCCGCGUGAUCGAUGAAGGUCGAGAGAUUGUAAAGAUCUUUUCUACAUGAGGAAUAAGUCUGGGAGGGAAUGCCUGGAUGAUGACGUUAGUGUAGGAAUAAGCCCCGGCUAAUUACGUGCCAGCCGCCGCGGUAA